RNAcentral lists this transfer RNA (76 nucleotides) under Bacteroidota bacterium. Its description in RNAcentral is "Bacteroidetes bacterium tRNA-Gly". It matches the Rfam family "tRNA". From Rfam's summary of the family: Transfer RNA (tRNA) molecules are approximately 80 nucleotides in length. Their secondary structure includes four short double-helical elements and three loops (D, anti-codon, and T loops). Lineage: Bacteria; Pseudomonadati; Bacteroidota. The record is from RNAcentral.
GCGGGAGUAGCUCAUCUGGUAGAGCGACAGCCUUCCAAGCUGUAGGUGGCCGGUUCGAGCCCGGUUUCCCGCUCAA